Molecule: ribosomal RNA, 468 nt
Filed under: uncultured bacterium
Lineage: Bacteria
Description: partial 16S ribosomal RNA
Rfam family: Bacterial small subunit ribosomal RNA
Source: RNAcentral
GACGAACGCUGGCGGCGUGCUUAACACAUGCAAGUCGAACGGAAAGGCCCUGCUUUUGUGGGGUGCUCGAGUGGCGAACGGGUGAGUAACACGUGAGUAACCUGCCCUUGACUUUGGGAUAACUUCAGGAAACUGGGGCUAAUACCGGAUAGGAGCUCCUGCUGCAUGGUGGGGGUUGGAAAGUUUCGGCGGUUGGGGAUGGACUCGCGGCGUAUCAGCUUGUUGGUGGGGUAGUGGCUUACCAAGGAGUUGACGGGUAGCCGGCCUGAGAGGGUGACCGGCAACAGUGGGAAUGAGAUAAGGCCCAGAGGCCUACGGGAGGCAGCAGUGGGGAAUCUGGGACAAUGGGAGCGAGUCUGAUGCAGCGACGCCGCGUGGGGGAUGACGGGCUUCGGGUUGGAAAAGCCUUUCGCUAGGGACGAAGCGCAAGUGACGGUAACUGGAGAAGAAGCACCGGCUAACUACGUG